AAUCCAUAGGUUAAUGAGGCGAACCGGGGGAACUGAAACAUCUAAGUACCCCGAGGAAAAGAAAUCAACCGAGAUUCCCCCAGUAGCGGCGAGCGAACGGGGAGGAGCCCAGAGCCUGAAUCAGCAUGUGUGUUAGUGGAAGCGUCUGGAAAGGCGCGCGAUACAGGGUGACAGCCCCGUACACAAAAGCGCAUGUGCUGUGAGCUCGAUGAGUAGGGCGGGACACGUGGUAUCCUGUCUGAAUAUGGGGGGACCAUCCUCCAAGGCUAAAUACUCCUGACUGACCGAUAGUGAACCAGUACCGUGAGGGAAAGGCGAAAAGAACCCCGGCGAGGGGAGUGAAAAAGAACCUGAAACCGUGUACGUACAAGCAGUGGGAGCACCCUUUUGGGUGUGACUGCGUACCUUUUGUAUAAUGGGUCAGCGACUUAUAUUCUGUAGCAAGGUUAACCGAAUAGGGGAGCCGGAGGGAAACCGAGUCUUAAU
RNAcentral lists this ribosomal RNA (486 nucleotides) under Salmonella enterica subsp. enterica. RNAcentral describes it as "partial 23S ribosomal RNA". It matches the Rfam family "Bacterial large subunit ribosomal RNA", at positions 161 to 688 of the family's 2925-position model. Lineage: Bacteria; Pseudomonadati; Pseudomonadota; Gammaproteobacteria; Enterobacterales; Enterobacteriaceae. The record is from RNAcentral.